RNAcentral lists this long non-coding RNA (725 nucleotides) under Equus asinus (donkey). RNAcentral describes it as "lncRNA (ENSEASG00005037492.1)". The record is from RNAcentral. Lineage: Eukaryota; Metazoa; Chordata; Mammalia; Perissodactyla; Equidae.
AAAGAGAGGGGAAGUUAGCUAGAGUCCAAGGAGUAAGUUCAUUGGCUUGAGGACGGGAAGAGGUUCUUGGCAAACGUUCAUUGGUUGAGGGCUAAGUUCCGGUUCUUGGGGACCAUGAGAUGUACUGCUUGCAGCUUUACUAACUAGGAGCAUUUCCUGCAUAACUGUCCUUCAGGGCCUCAACCAAAUGAGGCUACAAUACCACAGCAUUCUAGUUUCAGCUCCGCAUAUUAUGCAGAAUCUUCUCCCUGCUGCAAAUUAUUGCAAACUGCCCCAUCUUACCUCUACUGGUUAAGUGCCACCAUGGGAUCUCACCAUCUUCAUUGUAACAAAAGAGUCCAUUCAAUGGCAGUGCCUCCUGCCUUUAUCCAAGGUCCAUCCACUUUUCAAAGAAGAUGGUGCUCUGCUCGCCAAUGUAUUUCUCAAUCUUGUGGUGAAGAGGAUGUUCUUUUGGAAUUCUGGGGAGUUGACACCAUGACUAUCAGGUUAGCAGGUAUAUGCAACAUACUGAAUCCACUCUUCCAGAACCAGAUGACUCACCCGUCAUUAUUAUAGUUUAUUAUCCCCCUACCAUUGUGAUAAGCAAACCCAGAAGCCAUGAAUUGAAUGAUGGCAUCAAAAAAAUGGAAAGAGCUUGAAUCUCUGAAUGAUGUUAUGAAGCAGAAUCCUGCUCCGACCUCAUUGGAUAAUGAAUGAUUGAAUAAUAAACUUUUAUGUGUUAAGCC